UUCCUGGUGGUCCAGUGACUAAGACUUUGCACUUCUAAUGCAAGGGGUCCAGGUUGGAUCCCUGGUCCUGGAA
This 73-nucleotide transfer RNA is filed under the name Bos taurus (domestic cattle). It matches the Rfam family "tRNA". From Rfam's summary of the family: Transfer RNA (tRNA) molecules are approximately 80 nucleotides in length. Their secondary structure includes four short double-helical elements and three loops (D, anti-codon, and T loops). Lineage: Eukaryota; Metazoa; Chordata; Mammalia; Artiodactyla; Bovidae. The record is from Rfam by way of RNAcentral. RNAcentral also lists the same sequence under 5 other names.